This 470-nucleotide long non-coding RNA is filed under the name Mus musculus (house mouse). RNAcentral's name for it is "long non-coding RNA chr4:46327295-46327765". The record is from RNAcentral. Lineage: Eukaryota; Metazoa; Chordata; Mammalia; Rodentia; Muridae.
AUGGCCAAGUCCAAGAACCACACCACACACAACCAGUCCCACAAAUGGCACAGAAAUGGCAUCAAGAAACCACGGUCGCAAAGAUAUGAAUCUCUUAAGGGAGUUGACCCCAAGUUCCUGAGGAACAUGCGCCUUGCCAAGAAGCACAACAAGAAAGGCCUGAAGAAGAUGCAGGCCAACAAUGCAAAGGCAGUGAGUGUGCGAGCAGAGGCCAUCAAGGCCCUGGUGAAGCCUAAGCUGCCAAGCCCAAGAUGCCAAAGGGCCCCAGCCGCAAACUCAGCCGUCUGGCUUUCAUCGUUCACCCCAAGCUUGGGAAGCAGAUUCGAAGCUACAUGGCCAAGGGUCAGAGGCUCUGCCAACCGAAGCCUAAGGUCCAAACCAAGGCAGGGGCCAAAGCUCCAGCUAAGGCCCAGGCUUCAGCUCCAGCCCAGGCUCCCAAAGGUGCCCAGGCCCCUGUGAAGGCCCCAUAG